ACAGCAGUCGCCACGGUAAUACAGAGGGUGCAAGCGUUAAUCGGAAUUACUGGGCGUAAAGCGCGCGUAGGUGGUUUGCCAAGUUGGAUGUGAAAUCCCCGGGCUCAACCUGGGAACUGCAUCCAAAACUGGCGAGCUAGAGUAUGGUAGAGGGUGGUGGAAUUUCCUGUGUAGCGGUGAAAUGCGUAGAUAUAGGAAGGAACAUCAGUGGCGAAGGCGACCACCUGGACUGAUACUGACACUGAGGUGCGAAAGCGUGGGGAGCAAACAGGAUUAGAUACCCCGGUAGUCCCUGUCUCUUAUAC
This 305-nucleotide ribosomal RNA is filed under the name uncultured bacterium. RNAcentral's name for it is "partial 16S ribosomal RNA". It matches the Rfam family "Bacterial small subunit ribosomal RNA", at positions 505 to 807 of the family's 1533-position model. The record is from RNAcentral.